Molecule: unclassified non-coding RNA, 2294 nt
Filed under: uncultured fungus
Lineage: Eukaryota; Fungi
Description: sequence contains 18S rRNA gene, ITS1, 5.8S rRNA gene, ITS2, 28S rRNA gene
Rfam family: Eukaryotic large subunit ribosomal RNA (bases 1180-2294)
Source: RNAcentral
GGUUGGAUCAUUAAAAGUACCCCCCCUCGAGUCUAGUCAAUUCGAGGGGAGACUAAUCGACCCGAUCUCUCUCUCUCUGAGCUCGACUCGGUCUCUCUCUCUCGCCUAGGCGUGAGCGAGGGUUCGAGGAAAAGUGAGGAGAUUCGAGACCCCGGGAAGCCUGGUCUAUAAACUCAACCUAAUCGUGAUAUAUAAAACGCAUAGUGUAUAACCUGAAACCCGAACUACUCGGUCGAUCCGAGGCGUGAGGGAGGGAAGGCCAAUUAGCGAGGAGAGGGAGUAAUCGAGCGUAAGCGAGAUCUCUCGAACCCCGAGAAGGAAACCUGAACUCUCGAUCGUUGAGGUGAGACCCCAAAGAGCGAGAGCGAUCUCUCUCUAUAAACUCAAAAACAACCUUAGUCAGCGGAUGUCUCGGUUACCCCUUCGAUGAAGAGCACGGCAAAAUGUGAUAAUUAUUGUGAAUUGCAAAACCAGCGAAUCAUCGAGUUCUUGAACGCACUGCGCCUUCUGGCCUCGGCCGGUCGGCAUACCACUUUCAGCGGCUUGCAAUAACUGCCAAUCAUGGCGAGUGAUCUAAGUAGGGGAAACCCUACCCCGAUCUAAGUCUAGCGAUAGCUUUCUCCCGAGUUCUAAGGGGUGUCGAGUCUCAUGACGAGCCUAGAUUCCAGAGCGAGAAUAUCCCAGAGUCCAGUGUGACUCAGGGGUAUUAAAUCUCGAGUAAUUACCUCUCUGGUUUCGACGCUAGGAAGACAAGGCAAUCUCCCUUCUCUUGGAGCUACACCCGUGGCCGAGAGGAGAGAAGACUCGCGAUAGGGGGGGCUAUCCUAAGUGCGGGAAGGAACGCUUCGCGCGUUCGUUCUACGCUAGUGAAAUCGAUCUAGUAAUUCUAAUUCCACUGGCCUCUUCUUCUUAAUCGACGAAGGGGGUCUCGCGCUUUGUAAGAGCCAAGGUUAGGGGGUCUCAGGAACGGUCGUGUCUUUUACACCUUCGACGGUCUAGCUUCUCCCCGAGUAGGGGGGCUUGUGAAACCUGAGAAUAAUACGCUCGACCAGCGAAUGAGAUAUCUUCGACCCGAGGACACUAUACUACCCAUACCACACAAAGCGAGGGGUCUCUUAGACGAGAGAGGGGAGAGCGAGCUAACGGAAGGACGAGUAAACGAGGAGUUUUGCGAUCGCAUUGCCCUGAAAGUGGUAAGACCACCCGGAGGAUUUAAGCAUAUCAAUAUCCGGAGGAAAAGAAACUAACGAGGAUUCCCCUAGUAACUGCGAGUGAAGAGGGAUGAGCUCAAGCCUAAAUCUACCAGGCUCCGGCCUGGUCGAAUUGUAGUUUUGUGAGUGAGGUCUCGGAAGGGGGAUAGAAUUGAAUUCGUCUGGAACGGCGAACCAUAGAGGGUGAUAGUCCCGUAACUUCUUUCCUUCGACCAUCAGAGUCCAAACUCCUAGAGUCGUACACCUUGAGAUUGGUGUGCAAAAUGGGUGGUAAACUCCAUCUAAAGCUAAAUAUUGGGGGGUAAUCCGAUAGUGCAAAAGUAGCGUGAGCGAAAGAUGCAAAGAACUCUGGAGAGAGAGUUAAAAGUACCUGAAACUGACUAAGGGGAAGCGAUCGGUCGUAGCCACACGGGGAGUCUAGUCCAAGUUGAGUUCGCCUAGGUAGGGGAAAGAUUAGAGGGCGAAAGUCCUCGGUCCUACUCUAUCGAAAGCGGGGUCGAUGGCAAGCUAGGUAACUCGGUCAAUAAGGAUUGGUAUCAUAGUUUAAGAAACCUCUUCGGGGGAAGCCGUUUGUCAGGCGGUGGAUCCCGAGGAGACUAUUAGGCUUGGCCGGUCCUAGCAUUAAGCUCAUCCUGGAGGCCGCAAGGCGAGGCAGAUUCCGACGUCGGGUUUCUCGGGUCGAGUACUACUUGUAGUUCUCGGUUCGAGGGGUCUCUCAUAGGGGUCGAGUCUCUCUCUGGGGGGUAUUGAUCGUGCGAGAUUGAUUGUCCCGUCUUGAAACACGGACCAAGGAGUUUAUCGGUGUGCCGAGUCUAAGAGUGUGGAAAACUCUUAGGCGAAGCGAAAGCAUAGGGAACCUAUCGAGCUUCGGCUUGCCGCAGUUCCGUUCUCUCUUCGGGUUUACUCGAUGAGGGAAAAGGAGGUGCACCGAUAAGACCCGAAAGAAGGUGAACUUUACCUGUAUAGGUUGAAGCCGAAAGAAAUUUCGGUGGAGGAUCGUAGCGAUACUGACGUGCAAAUCGUUCGUCGAAUAUGGGCAAAGCGGCGAAAGACUAAUCGAAUCUUCUAGUAGCUGGUUCCUUU